This 519-nucleotide ribosomal RNA is filed under the name uncultured eukaryote. RNAcentral's name for it is "bacterial SSU rRNA". It matches the Rfam family "Eukaryotic small subunit ribosomal RNA", at positions 1161 to 1711 of the family's 1831-position model. The record is from RNAcentral.
AGGGUGCCGGCGGGGGCGGAGCCCGGGGUUUAAUUUGACCCAACACGGGAAAACUCACCCGGCCCGGACACCGGCAGGAAAGACAGAUUGAGAGGUCUUUCUUAAUUUGGUGGGAGGUGGGGCAGGGGCGUUCUCAUUUGGGGGAAAGAUUUGUUUGGUUAUUUCUCAAAACAAUUGAGAUUAUGGCCUAGUAAAUAGACGGCGAAUCCAGAAGUAUACCGCGCUUAUUAUUGGGAAAGGGGGCGGCUAGCCUCGAGACCAACCCCAAUUACAUGUCUGUGCUGCCGUUCGAUGUCCUGGUGGGCACCCGCGGUCGGUCGUGAGAAUUAGCGCGCGAUUCAACGGGCUCGUAUGAGCCGGUCCGAUUUGUUAAUUCUCUGGAGUUGGGAUGGGAACUGCGUAAUUUCCUUUAUUCUCCAAGAACCCAGAAUUGCGGUUAAUAAGAUCGCGCAGAUUACGUUCUGACGUCUGUACACUUUGCCCCGUCGGCCCGUCGAGGGAGGACUGAGUGAGUUCGAG